GCAGCCUGAUGCAGCAACGCCGCGUGAGGGAUGACGGCCUUCGGGUUGUAAACCUCUUUUAGUAGGGAAGAAGCGAAAGUGACGGUACCUGCAGAAAAAGCACCGGCUAACUACGUGCCAGCAGCCGCGGUAAUACGUAGGGUGCAAGCGUUGUCCGGAAUUAUUGGGCGUAAAGAGCUCGUAGGCGGUUUGUCGCGUCUGCUGUGAAAUCCCGAGGCUCAACCUCGGGCCUGCAGUGGGUACGGGCAGACUAGAGUGCGGUAGGGGAGAAUGGAACUCCUGGUGUAGCGGUGGAAUGCGCAGAUAUCAGGAAGAACACCGAUGGCGAAGGCAGUUCUCUGGGCCGUAACUGACGCUGAGGAGCGAAAGCGUGGGGAGCGAACAGGAUUAGAUACCCUGGUAGUCCACGCCGUAAACGUUGGGCGCUAGAUGUGGGGACCAUUCCACGGUUUCCGUGUCGCAGCUAACGCAUUAAGCGCCCCGCCUGGGGAGUACGGCCGCAAGGCUAAAACUCAAAGGAAUUGACGGGGGCCCGCACAAGCGGCGGAGCAUGCGGAUUAAUUCGAUGCAACGCGAAGAACCUUACCAAGGCUUGACAUACACGAGAACGGGCCAGAAAUGGUCAACUCUUUGGAC
Molecule: ribosomal RNA, 636 nt
Filed under: Leifsonia sp. Ri3Ps_6525
Lineage: Bacteria; Bacillati; Actinomycetota; Actinomycetes; Micrococcales; Microbacteriaceae
Description: bacterial SSU rRNA
Rfam family: Bacterial small subunit ribosomal RNA
Source: RNAcentral